Molecule: ribosomal RNA, 616 nt
Filed under: Dolichospermum flos-aquae FACHB-245
Lineage: Bacteria; Bacillati; Cyanobacteriota; Cyanophyceae; Nostocales; Aphanizomenonaceae
Description: bacterial SSU rRNA
Rfam family: Bacterial small subunit ribosomal RNA
Source: RNAcentral
GAAUCUAGCUCUAGGUCGGGGACAACCACUGGAAACGGUGGCUAAUACCGGAUGUGCCGAAAGGUGAAAGAUUUAUUGCCUAGAGAUGAGCUCGCGUCUGAUUAGCUAGUUGGUGUGGUAAGAGCGCACCAAGGCGACGAUCAGUAGCUGGUCUGAGAGGUUGAUCAGCCACACUGGGACUGAGACACGGCCCAGACUCCUACGGGAGGCAGCAGUGGGGAAUUUUCCGCAAUGGGCGAAAGCCUGACGGAGCAAUACCGCGUGAGGGAGGAAGGCUCUUGGGUUGUAAACCUCUUUUCUCAGGGAAUAAGAAAGUGAAGGUACCUGAGGAAUAAGCAUCGGCUAACUCCGUGCCAGCAGCCGCGGUAAUACGGAGGAUGCAAGCGUUAUCCGGAAUGAUUGGGCGUAAAGCGUCCGCAGGUGGCACUGUAAGUCUGCUGUUAAAGAGCAAGGCUCAACCUUGUAAAGGCAGUGGAAACUACAGAGCUAGAGUACGUUCGGGGCAGAGGGAAUUCCUGGUGUAGCGGUGAAAUGCGUAGAGAUCAGGAAGAACACCGGUGGCGAAAGCGCUCUGCUAGGCCGUAACUGACACUGAGGGACGAAAGCUAGGGGAGCG